AGUCGUACGCUUCUUUUUCCCCGGAGCUUGCUCCACCGGAAAAAGAAGAGUGGCGAACGGGUGAGUAACACGUGGGUAACCUGCCCAUCAGAAGGGGAUAACACUUGGAAACAGGUGCUAAUACCGUAUAACAAUCGAAACCGCAUGGUUUUGAUUUGAAAGGCGCUUUCGGGUGUCGCUGAUGGAUGGACCCGCGGUGCAUUAGCUAGUUGGUGAGGUAACGGCUCACCAAGGCCACGAUGCAUAGCCGACCUGAGAGGGUGAUCGGCCACAUUGGGACUGAGACACGGCCCAAACUCCUACGGGAGGCAGCAGUAGGGAAUCUUCGGCAAUGGACGAAAGUCUGACCGAGCAACGCCGCGUGAGUGAAGAAGGUUUUCGGAUCGUAAAACUCUGUUGUUAGAGAAGAACAAGGAUGAGAGUAACUGUUCAUCCCUUGACGGUAUCUAACCAGAAAGCCACGGCUAACUACGUGCCAGCAGCCGCGGUAAUACGUAGGUGGCAAGCGUUGUCCGGAUUUAUUGGGCGUAAAGCGAGCGCAGGCGGUUUCUUAAGUCUGAUGUGAAAGCCCCCGGCUCAACCGGGGAGGGUCAUUGGAAACUGGGAGACUUGAGUGCAGAAGAGGAGAGUGGAAUUCCAUGUGUAGCGGUGAAAUGCGUAGAUAUAUGGAGGAACACCAGUGGCGAAAGCGGCUCUCUGGUCUGUAACUGACGCUGAGGCUCGAAAGCGUGGGGAGCAACAGGAUAGAUACCCUGGUAGU
RNAcentral lists this ribosomal RNA (760 nucleotides) under uncultured bacterium. Its description in RNAcentral is "bacterial SSU rRNA". It matches the Rfam family "Bacterial small subunit ribosomal RNA", at positions 60 to 794 of the family's 1533-position model. The record is from RNAcentral.